AUUGAACGCUGGCGGCAUGCUUUACACAUACAAGUCGAACGGUAACAGGGAGCUUGCUCCGCUGACGAGUGGCGAACGGGUGAGUAAUGCGUCGGAACGUGCCGAGUAGUGGGGGAUAACGCAUCGAAAGGUGUGCUAAUACCGCAUACGUACUGAGGUAGAAAGUGGGGGACCUUCGGGCCUCACGCUAUUCGAGCGGCCGACGGCUGAUUAGCUAGUUGGUGAGGUAAAGGCUCACCAAGGCGACGAUCAGUAGCGGGUCUGAGAGGAUGAUCCGCCACACUGGGACUGAGACACGGCCCAGACUCCUACGGGAGGCAGCAGUGGGGAAUUUGGGACAAUGGGCGCAAGCCUGAUCCAGCCAUGCCGCGUGUCUGAAGAAGGCCUUCGGGUUGUAAAGGACUUUUGUCCGGGAGCAAAUGCCUGGUGUUAAUAGCAUCGGGAGCUGAGAGUACCGGAAGAAUAAGCACCGGCUAACUACGUGCCAGCAGCCGCGGUAA
This 500-nucleotide ribosomal RNA is filed under the name uncultured bacterium. RNAcentral's name for it is "partial 16S ribosomal RNA". It matches the Rfam family "Bacterial small subunit ribosomal RNA", at positions 30 to 523 of the family's 1533-position model. The record is from RNAcentral.